GAUGAACGCUGGCGGCGUGCCUAAUACAUGCAAGUCGAGCGAACGGACGAGAAGCUUGCUUUUCUGAUGUUAGCGGCGGACGGGUGAGUAACACGUGGAUAACCUACCUAUAAGACUGGGAUAACUUCGGGAAACCGGAGCUAAUACCGGAUAAUAUUUUGAACCGCAUGGUUCAAAAGUGAAAGUCGGUCUUGCUGUCACUUAUAGAUGGAUCCGCGCUGCAUUAGCUAGUUGGUAAGGUAACGGCUUACCAAGGCAACGAUGCAUAGCCGACCUGAGAGGGUGGUCGGCCACACUGGAACUGAGACACGGUCCAGACUCCUGCGGGAGGCAGCAGUAGGGAAUCUUCCGCAAUGGGCGAAAGCCUGACGGAGCAACGCCGCGUGAGUGAUGAAGGUCUUCGGAUCGUAAAACUCUGUUAUUAGGGGAGAACAUAUGUGUAAGUAACUGUGCACAUCUUGACGGUACCGAAUCAGAAAGCCACGGCUAACUACGUG
Molecule: ribosomal RNA, 497 nt
Filed under: uncultured bacterium
Lineage: Bacteria
Description: partial 16S ribosomal RNA
Rfam family: Bacterial small subunit ribosomal RNA
Source: RNAcentral